ACAGGUCUGCCACCGGGUAGAUUAAGAAUGCAAAGGCAUUUGCUGCACAUCGUUAGGUCUUUGAAGAUGUGCGGACAAAUGCCUUUAUUUU
This 91-nucleotide non-coding RNA is filed under the name unclassified sequences. The record is from RNAcentral.